GAUGAACGCUGGCGGCGUGCCUAAUACAUGCAAGUCGAGCGAACAGAUGAGGAGCUUGCUCCUCUGACGUUAGCGGCGGACGGGUGAGUAACACGUGGAUAACCUACCUAUAAGACUGGGAUAACUUCGGGAAACCGGAGCUAAUACCGGAUAAUAUAUUGAACCGCAUGGUUCAAUAGUGAAAGACGGUUUUGCUGUCACUUAUAGAUGGAUCCGCGCCGCAUUAGCUAGUUGGUAAGGUAACGGCUUACCAAGGAAACGAUGCGUAGCCGACCUGAGAGGGUGAUCGGCCACACUGGAACUGAGACACGGUCCAGACUCCUACGGGAGGCAGCAGUAGGGAAUCUUCCGCAAUGGGCGAAAGCCUGACGGAGCAACGCCGCGUGAGUGAUGAAGGUCUUCGGAUCGUAAAACUCUGUUAUUAGGGAAGAACAAAUGUGUAAGUAACUAUGCACGUCUUGACGGUACCUAAUCAGAAAGCCACGGCUAACUACGUG
This 497-nucleotide ribosomal RNA is filed under the name uncultured bacterium. Its description in RNAcentral is "partial 16S ribosomal RNA". It matches the Rfam family "Bacterial small subunit ribosomal RNA", at positions 28 to 507 of the family's 1533-position model. The record is from RNAcentral.